RNAcentral lists this ribosomal RNA (884 nucleotides) under uncultured bacterium. RNAcentral's name for it is "bacterial SSU rRNA". It matches the Rfam family "Bacterial small subunit ribosomal RNA", at positions 618 to 1499 of the family's 1533-position model. The record is from RNAcentral.
GAACUGCAUCUGAUACUGUUAGGCUAGAAUAGGUGAGAGGAAGGUAGAAUUCCAGGUGUAGCGGUGAAAUGCGUAGAGAUCUGGAGGGAAUACCGAUGGCGAAGGCAGCCUUCUGGCAUCAUAUUGACACUGAGGUUCGAAAGCGUGGGUAGCAAACASGAUUAGAUACCCUGGUAGUCCACGCCGUAAAACGAUGUCUACUAGUCGUUGGGUCCCUUGAGGACUUAGUGACGCAGCUAACGCAAUAAGUAGACCGCCUGGGGAGUACGGCCGCAAGGUUAAAACUCAAAUGAAUUGACGGGGGCCCGCACAAGCGGUGGAGCAUGUGGUUUAAUUCGAUGCAACGCGAAGAACCUUACCUGGUCUUGACAUAUCUAGAAUCCUGCAGAGAUGCGGGAGUGCCUUCGGGAAUUAGAAUACAGGUGCUGCAUGGCUGUCGUCAGCUCGUGUCGUGAGAUGUUGGGUUAAGUCCCGCAACGAGCGCAACCCUUGUCCUUAGUUACCAGCGGGUUAAGCCGGGAACUCUAAGGAUACUGCCAGUGACAAACUGGAGGAAGGCGGGGACGACGUCAAGUCAUCAUGGCCCUUACGACCAGGGCUACACACGUGCUACAAUGGUAGGUACAGAGGGCAGCUACACAGCGAUGUGAUGCGAAUCUCAAAAAGCCUAUCGUAGUCCAGAUUGGAGUCUGCAACUCGACUCCAUGAAGUAGGAAUCGCUAGUAAUCGCGGAUCAGAAUGCCGCGGUGAAUACGUUCCCGGGCCUUGUACACACCGCCCGUCACACCAUGGGAGUUGAUUGCACCAGAAGUGGAUAGCCUAACCUUCGGGAAGGCGUUCACCACGGUGUGGUUGAUGACUGGGGUGAAGUCGUAACAAGGUAA